UCGGACGUGGUGCACGGGCCACUCCUGCCCAGAAUAUAUAUGAAGCUAAAAAAACUACUGUAAGCAGGGGUACUGGGUUCGACUCCCAGCGUUCGAG
Mycena crocata is the source of this 97-nucleotide non-coding RNA. Lineage: Eukaryota; Fungi; Basidiomycota; Agaricomycetes; Agaricales; Mycenaceae. The record is from the annotation of a GenBank genome assembly.